CCUACGGGCGGCAGCAGUGGGGAAUAUUGGACAAUGGGCGAAAGCCUGAUCCAGCCAUGCCGCGUGUGUGAAGAAGGCCUUCGGGUUGUAAAGCACUUUCAGUGGGGAAGAAAGCCUUGGGGCUAAUACCCUCGAGGAAGGACAUCACCCACAGAAGAAGCUCCGGCUAACUCCGUGCCAGCAGCCGCGGUAAUACGGAGGGUGCGAGCGUUAAUCGGAAUUACUGGGCGUAAAGCGCGCGUAGGCGGUCUGAUAAGCCGGUUGUGAAAGCCCCGGGCUCAACCUGGGAACGGCAUCCGGAACUGUCAGGCUAGAGUGCAGGAGAGGAAGGUAGAAUUCCCGGUGUAGCGGUGAAAUGCGUAGAGAUCGGGAGGAAUACCAGUGGCGAAGGCGGCCUUCUGGACUGACACUGACGCUGAGGUGCGAAAGCGUGGGUAGCAAACAGGAUUAGAUACCCCAGUAGUC
This 465-nucleotide ribosomal RNA is filed under the name Vreelandella stevensii. Its description in RNAcentral is "partial 16S ribosomal RNA". It matches the Rfam family "Bacterial small subunit ribosomal RNA", at positions 338 to 795 of the family's 1533-position model. The record is from RNAcentral. Lineage: Bacteria; Pseudomonadati; Pseudomonadota; Gammaproteobacteria; Oceanospirillales; Halomonadaceae.